This 468-nucleotide ribosomal RNA is filed under the name uncultured bacterium. RNAcentral's name for it is "partial 16S ribosomal RNA". It matches the Rfam family "Bacterial small subunit ribosomal RNA", at positions 28 to 507 of the family's 1533-position model. The record is from RNAcentral.
GACGAACGCUGGCGGCGUGCUUAACACAUGCAAGUCGAACGGAAAGGCCCUGCUUUUGUGGGGUGCUCGAGUGGCGAACGGGUGAGUAACACGUGAGUAACCUGCCCUUGACUUUGGGAUAACUUCAGGAAACUGGGGCUAAUACCGGAUAGGAGCUCCUGCUGCAUGGUGGGGGUUGGAAAGUUUCGGCGGUUGGGGAUGGACUCGCGGGUUAUCAGCUUGUUGGUGGGGUAGUGGCUUACCAAGGCUUUGACGGGUAGCCGGCCUGGGAGGGUGACCGGCCACAUUGGGACUGAGAUACGGCCCAGAACCCUACGGGAGGCAGCAGGGGGGAAUAUUGCACAAUGGGCGGAAGCCUGAUGCAGCAACGCCGCGUGCGGGAUGACGGCCUUCGGGUUGUAAACCGCUUUCGCCUGUGACGAAGCGUGAGUGACGGUAAUGGGUAAAGAAGCACCGGCUAACUACGUG